GGGGGUAGCAUAAUGUGGCCUAAUGCAACUCACUGUAACAGUGAGUAUAUGGGUUCGAUUCCCAUCCCCCCCA
RNAcentral lists this transfer RNA (73 nucleotides) under Dolichospermum sp. DET69. Its description in RNAcentral is "tRNA-Tyr". It matches the Rfam family "tRNA". From Rfam's summary of the family: Transfer RNA (tRNA) molecules are approximately 80 nucleotides in length. Their secondary structure includes four short double-helical elements and three loops (D, anti-codon, and T loops). RNAcentral also lists the same sequence under 4 other names. The record is from RNAcentral. Lineage: Bacteria; Bacillati; Cyanobacteriota; Cyanophyceae; Nostocales; Aphanizomenonaceae.